Molecule: transfer RNA, 84 nt
Filed under: Thalassospira xiamenensis
Lineage: Bacteria; Pseudomonadati; Pseudomonadota; Alphaproteobacteria; Rhodospirillales; Thalassospiraceae
Description: tRNA_Leu_GAG
Rfam family: tRNA
About the family: Transfer RNA (tRNA) molecules are approximately 80 nucleotides in length. Their secondary structure includes four short double-helical elements and three loops (D, anti-codon, and T loops).
Source: RNAcentral
GCGCCUGUGGUGGAACUGGUAGACACGCUGGCUUGAGGGGUCAGUGACCACGAGGUCAUGGAGGUUCAAAUCCUCUCGGGCGCA